Molecule: ribosomal RNA, 760 nt
Filed under: Schumannella luteola
Lineage: Bacteria; Bacillati; Actinomycetota; Actinomycetes; Micrococcales; Microbacteriaceae
Description: bacterial SSU rRNA
Rfam family: Bacterial small subunit ribosomal RNA
Source: RNAcentral
CAUGCAAGUCGAACGGUGAAGGGGGAGCUUGCUCCUCUGGAUCAGUGGCGAACGGGUGAGUAACACGUGAGUAACCUGCCCUUGACUCUGGGAUAAGCGUUGGAAACGACGUCUAAUACCGGAUACGAGCUUCAGCCGCAUGGCUAGGAGUUGGAAAGAAUUUUGGUCAAGGAUGGACUCGCGGCCUAUCAGGUUGUUGGUGAGGUAAUGGCUCACCAAGCCUACGACGGGUAGCCGGCCUGAGAGGGUGACCGGCCACACUGGGACUGAGACACGGCCCAGACUCCUACGGGAGGCAGCAGUGGGGAAUAUUGCACAAUGGGCGAAAGCCUGAUGCAGCAACGCCGCGUGAGGGACGACGGCCUUCGGGUUGUAAACCUCUUUUAGCAGGGAAGAAGCGAAAGUGACGGUACCUGCAGAAAAAGCACCGGCUAACUACGUGCCAGCAGCCGCGGUAAUACGUAGGGUGCAAGCGUUAUCCGGAAUUAUUGGGCGUAAAGAGCUCGUAGGCGGUUGGUCGCGUCUGCUGUGAAAUCCCGAGGCUCAACCUCGGGUCUGCAGUGGGUACGGGCCAGCUAGAGUGCGGUAGGGGAGAAUGGAAUUCCUGGUGUAGCGGUGGAAUGCGCAGAUAUCAGGAGGAACACCGAUGGCGAAGGCAGUUCUCUGGGCCGUUACUGACGCUGAGGAGCGAAAGCGUGGGGAGCGAACAGGAUUAGAUACCCUGGUAGUCCACGCCGUAAACGUUGGGCGCUAGAUGUGG